Long non-coding RNA from Solanum dulcamara, 254 nucleotides. RefSeq lists it as uncharacterized. Lineage: Eukaryota; Viridiplantae; Streptophyta; Magnoliopsida; Solanales; Solanaceae. The transcript is spliced from 4 exons. The record is from RefSeq and is a predicted model, not a curated record.
AGUUUCUUUUUUGUUUUCUCUUCAGGAGGAGUAUUGGAGAUUGAUAUCACAUCAAACUUUGUGCCACCAUGCCUAUGUUUAUUCCUGUUCAUGAACCCUCCCUUAAUAUGGGGCAAAACUUACCUCCACAGGGAUACAAUGUGGACUAUGAUAUGACUAUCAUUCCUUCCGUCAGAGCUCCUGGUUCUAGAGCAAGCUACCCGCGAGGAAGAAUGCCAAGAUUAUUUCCUGCAGGAUCUUCACAUUCAGGAGUA